Molecule: unclassified non-coding RNA, 318 nt
Filed under: uncultured fungus
Lineage: Eukaryota; Fungi
Description: partial contains 5.8S ribosomal RNA and internal transcribed spacer 2
Rfam family: 5.8S ribosomal RNA (bases 1-133)
Source: RNAcentral
UGGCUCUCGCAUCGAUGAAGAACGCAGCGAAAUGCGAUAAGUAAUGUGAAUUGCAGAAUUCAGUGAAUCAUCGAAUCUUUGAACGCACCUUGCGCCCCUUGGUAUUCCGAGGGGCAUGCCUGUUUGAGUGUCACGUAGACUCAACCCCCCGGGUUUCUUGACCAGGGCGGAGUUGGAUUUGGGCCCUGCCUACCCUGGCUGGCCUUAAAUGCGUUAGCGGAUGGCCACACGGACGUUGUAAGCACUCGUCCAAGGUCCCGCUCACAGAACCCCCCGAUUUUGCACUCUGACCUCAAAUCAGGUAGGGCUACCCGCUGA